AGUGAACGCUGGCGGUAGGCCUAACACAUGCAAGUCGAACGGCAGCACAGUAAGAGCUUGCUCUUACGGGUGGCGAGUGGCGGACGGGUGAGGAAUACAUCGGAAUCUACUUUUUCGUGGGGGAUAACGUAGGGAAACUUACGCUCAUACCGCAUACGACCUACGGUUGAAAGCAGGGGAUCUUCGUACCUUGCGCGAUUGAAUGAGCCGGUGUCGGAUGAGCUAGUUGGCGGGGUAAAGGCCCACCAAGGCGACGAUCCGUAGCUGGUCUGAGAGGAUGAGCAGCCACACUGGAACUGAGGCACGGUCCAGACUCCUACGGGAGGCAGCAGUGGGGAAGAUUGGACAAUGGGCGCAAGCCUGAUCCAGCCAGACCGCGUGAGUGAAGAAGGCCUUCGGGUUGUAAAGCCCUUUUGUUGGGAAAGAAAAGCAGCAGGUUAAUACCCCGCUGUUCUGACGGUACCCAAAGAAUAAGCACCGGCUAACUUCGUG
This 492-nucleotide ribosomal RNA is filed under the name uncultured bacterium. RNAcentral describes it as "partial 16S ribosomal RNA". It matches the Rfam family "Bacterial small subunit ribosomal RNA", at positions 29 to 507 of the family's 1533-position model. The record is from RNAcentral.